RNAcentral lists this ribosomal RNA (336 nucleotides) under Triticum aestivum (bread wheat). RNAcentral describes it as "partial small subunit ribosomal RNA". Lineage: Eukaryota; Viridiplantae; Streptophyta; Magnoliopsida; Poales; Poaceae. The record is from RNAcentral.
AUGCGUUCGCAGGCCCAGAAGAAGCCAGGACCCCAUCUCCCACCCCGCUCCCUCAUUACGAGUGCUCUGCGGCGCCAUCAGCAGAGAGCAGAGUUCAUGGCGGCGGUGGAAGAGAACGGCAAUGGAUUGGAGUUCCUAACAGAUCCUGUCGACAGGUUCCCCUGGCCGGAUCUUGAAACCAACGAUUUAACUCCGGCCGGUGAGGCAGGUACUUGUCUGACACAGUCGGCUGCUGAAUCAAGCAUGGGAGAUGUUGGCGAUGACCCACUGUCAAUCCAAUUGGCCGUGAAUAACGGCUGUGAAGCACUGCGCUUGUCGGCGGCCGAUUCGCAAUAA